GUGAAGAGAGACUUGGGGCGCCACUCAUGCUGGAUAAGGGCACUCGCUUUCCCAUAGUUGUUCAACCGAGCCUUCACUGUAGUCAGGGGGUCGAGUGCAUGCUGCGUGCCAAUGGUCAAUGUGUUUUCAUUGCUUGAAAAACUACGGGUCAGCUCUGCACCAACGGCUGUACUGGUCAAUGGUCUCACUGUGUGGUAGUAGGAAGCAGUAAGGGUGUCUCCCUUAUCAUUGCUGUGGUCAUCAUCAAAAACAUUCCCAUCAGCAAAGGGAGACUUCAAAUAAAAAAUAUGCACAAACAGCAGAAAUAACUCCACUUUAAUGUUUUAACAUCGAGCUAAUCCCAAGUUCAGAGUAAAAAUGGUUGUCCUAGAUGAUACAAGAGAGUAGACCUUCCACAAAAAUCAGAGAAAUUAGUUCAGUGAGCAUCUUUAGCAAUACUGCCAGUAAAUAAUUAUUCACCAGCAAAUGCCUUCAAAACUUGCAUUUCUCUGCAUUGAACUACAGCUCAAGCUCUUUAAUGGGAUAGUGCCAGCAAAAGAAUUCUCACGCCAGUCUUUAAACCGGUAGAGCUCAAUGCUCAGUGAACAUAAUCAAUGAAAGCAACAGAAAGUAACAGCUAUUAGAGUAAUUAACUAAAAUGUAACUUCUUUCACCGCGUUGAAUUACUCACACUGUCAGAGAAGCAAUCAGGUCAGCAUUUGUAUAACUCAACCCUGCAUUGUAUUUAGUGAAGUUCCCAGUAGCAGUAUCAAAUGAGAGAUCCGUCCCAAGAGAAACAACAUUACUCCCGAUCACGCCUGAGAAGUUAACAAUGGGAUUUGCAGUCAACCCAAGGCUAGUGCUUAUCCCAGCAUACUCAUGCUGGUACUGGAGUUCCACCUGUUAGCACAAGAAAUUAAAUCAGAUCAUAGAGUGGCAAAAAACAGCCUCAUUAACACUGUGGCAUGCCCAUUAAUGCAGUAAGAAGUUCCAAAUAGACAAGACAACCAUGACCUCAAUGUUUAACAACAAAUACAAAAAAUCAGACCAGCAAUCAAUAACCAUAACCGCAAAAUAAUGAUGCUCCCAACAGCCAAGCAAAGCAGGAAGUAGAAACAACUGAAAAUGACAAGAUAAAAGUUAAUUGACAAGGAAAGAACCCUUUUACCUUGCCAGAUCUCUGAUCAGGGACUUUGAAGCUAAAGAUGGUCUUGAGCCCAGGAGCAGGUUCGUCAAUAGUAAUAGUUGUGAGAAGCUACAGAUGAACACAAAACUAUCAAUUGCACAAUCAAAGCAUCAUAUUACUAGUUAUAUAAUUAUCCAACGAAUGUUCACUGCAUGGAAAAAAGUUAUUCUAAUUAGCUGCGAUGAAUGCCAAAAGGAAUUUCAUCUUUUGAAAAGAAUGCGAACAAACUGCUUUACAACCUUAUGUAGUAAAAUCAUGCUUUGGUCCAGCAAUACAGGCAUGGGGUAUGUCCUAAAGAACAAUCUAACAAAUAAGACAGCAAUACAUGUAAUAUAAAGCAACCCUGCAAUGCUCUAUCCUUCACAUCUAUAGUCAACUGAAGUAAACGCUGUAUUUAGGGAAAUUUGUUUCUCGUAAAAUAUCUUACAAAAAAUUUGAUCUACAUAAAUAUUUUAUGGUCAACCCACAAACUUAGUUCGUUUAUUGGAAAAAAAUUUCAGCUCAUGAAAUUUUGUAAGAUAUUUUACAAACAGUAAUAAACUUUAGCUAUCACACAACCAUUUCACCACCUUCACCACCACCAUCCCAUCACCACCACUAUCACCUCUACCACCCCACCAUCACAACACAUCAUCAUUGUUUCACUACCACUAUAAUUUCAAUUCAUUACUUACCAAAAAUCAUAAAAUUUGUUCUAUGUAAAAUGUCUUACGGAAAAUAUUUCAAAUGUAAAUUAUAAUGCAAAAGAUUUUUUCUAAAACAAAUACUAGGGGUGAGCAUUGGGGUAUUCAAGGGAAUGCCAUUUCCAAUACUUAUCCCAAUUAUCCAAAAUAUUUUUUUCCUUACCUAACCCUAUUUCUUUUACCCGAUCAAACAAUUUGGGUAAUUCAGAUAACUCAAAUUACCUGAAUUUUUUACCUAUUACCCCAUUAAUUUUUCUUCCCCAAAGUUUUGACUACAUGAGAAUUAGGUUUAAGGAACAUUACAAGCCUAUGAGUUUUAAAAAUUUAUGAAUUAUUAUUGGAUAACCUGAUUUUUUUUUGUUUAACCCGAAUUACCCAUUUUCUGCAAUUUUUAAAAGUUUAUAAUCCAAAUUAGUAGUUUUUUUAAAUGCUCACCGCUACCAACACCUCCUUAAAUGAAAAGGAGUUAUUGAAUCAUGGUGGUAUACUGGUGAAUUAAUGCGAUAAUUCGCCAUAUCUGGGAUAAGAGAUCACAUACAACUUGUUUGACCAUAUAAUUGAGAUGAAUACAAAAAUCCCAUCUUCAAACAAUUUACACCGGUACUCAAGAAAUGUAGAGCUUCAUAGCUCACCAACCCAGAGCACAAAAGAGAAGAAAGUACCUCUGAUAGUGACUUGAAGUCUAAACAGGAUCAUCAAACAAGGGCAUAAUAUACAAAUCACAAGCACAGAUAAUUAUCAUUUCUGAUUUGUUAAAAGUGAAAGAACAAGAAGGAGAGCAGGCAAGCUUUAAUGUCUUACAUUGGAGUUUGUGUCCACUUUUAUAUCAGUUGUGAUGUUCUUGUUCUUUAGCUGACCGCUGACAUCUGCUAAAAACAGCUCACCUUUCUUGAUCCCAGUUGAAGUGAGUGCCUGGAAUGCGAAAUAAAUAUAAUGUCAGAUGAUAAUAUUAUAGAAGGUUGUUUUCAAAAGAAACAAGAACAUAUGCUUCAAUGCAAUUAACUUGAUAGAAGACAUCGAAACUAAAUAUCCAAUCUAAAGGAUUUCACAUCUGCACAUCCAAAACAGAUGGUCCAUUCUCAGGUGUAAUAUUUAACGAGUUAAAGAGUCUCGCGCCAAUUCGAAACCCAUAUGCCAUAUCACCGAUACCAUAAUUGCGAAAGAAUUAAUCAUGGUAAACUAAACAAAUCAAUGCAAUUAUAAUCGCGGCAGUGUUUCCUUUUAUUUUCAAGGCUACACACACAUGGUUGUUGCUUAAUUUUCCUUUACUGUUUGUGAAUCGUACAAACAGCUCAAUUAAAUCAGCCAAAACGACAUGCUGAGCAAAAAAUCCAUAAAUGCAAAUAAAAUUAUCAAAAUAAUAUAGAAUCCAAAUCCUGCUGCUAAGAGCCAGUUUGGUAUUAUGGUAACGGUUGUUUUUCAAAAUAAUUUUCGCUUGGAAAUGCAUGAAAAUAUUUUUUUUAUUUUUUAUAUCAACAUAUCAAAACAAUUUAAAAAAACACAGGAAAAACAAUUUGAAGCAAAGAAAAAAAAUAAAAAAAAUUCAAUUUUUUUCAAAAAUGCAUUUGAAACACAAAAACAGGCUCUAAGUGCAAAGAAAUUAAUCGUCCAGCACUUAACAAUGGAGAUUGACCAAUUCAUUUCUCAUCAAUAAAAAAAUUAUUCAACUUAACUGUUUUCCUAGGCCUAACAUUACAACUUCUACAUGGAAUAUAAAGGGGGAAAAAAACAUGAGGAUUCAUCUGGGCAGUCCGUUAAUUAAAAAAGAACAUCAAUACCACAAUUUUAAAAAAAUAUAUAAUUAAUAAAAAAAAUAAAAGGAAAAGGAGAGAAAAUUACAACUCCAGUUGAGGUAUAAGUAGUGACAGUGAACUUGUGGUCGCUCUGGUAAUCUUUAUAGAGA
This 3751-nucleotide long non-coding RNA is filed under the name Populus trichocarpa (black cottonwood). RNAcentral's name for it is "long non-coding RNA (PTRI_LNC002201)". The record is from RNAcentral. Lineage: Eukaryota; Viridiplantae; Streptophyta; Magnoliopsida; Malpighiales; Salicaceae.